UACGGGGGGGGCAAGCGUUGUCCGGAAUCACUGGGCGUAAAGGGCGCGUAGGCGGCGCGAGCAGUCGAUCGUGAAAGUCCGGAGCUCAACUCCGGAUCGGCGGUCGAUACUCUCGUGCUUGAGCACUGUAGAGGCAGAUGGAAUUCCGGGUGUAGCGGUGGAAUGCGUAGAGAUCCGGAAGAACACCGGUGGCGAAGGCGGUCUGCUGGGCAGUUGCUGACGCUGAGGCGCGACAGCGUGGGGAGCAAACAGG
This 253-nucleotide ribosomal RNA is filed under the name uncultured bacterium. RNAcentral describes it as "partial 16S ribosomal RNA". It matches the Rfam family "Bacterial small subunit ribosomal RNA", at positions 524 to 776 of the family's 1533-position model. The record is from RNAcentral.